AAAAAACGAAUAAGAAGAAAAGGGCUAAGGGGAAAUGGUACGCAACAGACAAAUAGACAAAGGGGAUUUAGGUGAAAUCCUAAUCAAAUUAAAAGGGAUUAACGGAAGGAAAACCCACGACAUCAAGAUAAACAAAGGAAGGGUUAGGUAUUGAAGCAUAUCAAGCUUCGGCAGAAGCGAUUCAACAUAGUAGAAGGAAAAAGAAAGGAAGGUUCUAUCUAUUCUCGUUGAAGGAAUUUAUAAAGUGGGAAAGAACAAGGUAGUUGAAUGAGUCUUAUGGACUCUGCUCGAGGUGACACUUUGGGUAUUUCGACACGACUACUAGAUAGCAGUAGACGCAAGCGAGGAUUCCGUUAUUUAGAGUACACGAGUUGACAGUUUCUGGUGAGCCCCGCAUUUAUUCGCGUGGGCAAAGAUUUCUAUUUAUUUGUUAUUGUCUCUUUCUCGAAACUCUUAGAGUCGCUCCAUAGUCAUUUUUAUUAGUGCCAUGAGUAUUCUUUCGUUAUAUUGGAUUAUUCACUAGUAUUACACCUUCUUUUCCGUAUUUUUGAGAUGGGCUUAGUAUUAUCUUAUUUAUAAGGUUGGUAGGGUUGGUGAAAACUCAUUUGUUAGUUCAUGAAGAUUGUGGUUGAUUUAGGUAAAUAUUGGUUGGCCGUUAAAUUGUUUAUGAGACAGGAAAACUUUUGGA
Molecule: long non-coding RNA, 688 nt
Organism: Nicotiana attenuata
Lineage: Eukaryota; Viridiplantae; Streptophyta; Magnoliopsida; Solanales; Solanaceae
Exons: 3
Source: RefSeq, a predicted model, not a curated record